This is a long non-coding RNA of Triticum dicoccoides, 2719 nucleotides long. RefSeq lists it as uncharacterized. The transcript has 4 exons. The record is from RefSeq and is a predicted model, not a curated record. Lineage: Eukaryota; Viridiplantae; Streptophyta; Magnoliopsida; Poales; Poaceae.
UCCCGUCGAUUCUGUUUUCUCAAAAAGAAAAAAUCUAAUCCCGAUCGAGGCGCAGCGGAGCGACCGCAUCGAAUCCAUCCACUCCGGAUUCGAGGCGCAGAGAGGAGCCGAUCGAUCCAGUCCGGAUUCGAGCACCGCUACGGCCGAGGUGAGGGAUGGAUCGAGUCCAUUCGUGCGCUGGGAUCAAGCGAAGGAUUCGGAUGCAACCGAUGCGCUCGAGCGUCGACAGUGUCAAGCGGAGGCAGGUGAUUCGGGUCCAGCCGAGGCGCCCUAGCGCACAAUGGGAUCGAGUGCAGAACCGCCGGCGGCACAAGGAUUAAGGCCGAUGGUCUUCAUCGAGUAACAGUUCAUCGAGGUGGCGAUGCCGAUCGAGAGAGCCUUAGUUAUGGUGUAGGCGGGCGAUUAGUAUAAGGAGGCGGUGCAAACGGCUCAAGGAUACAAAGGUGGAUGCACAGGAUGAAGCGACGGUGGCUCGCUGGUGCGAGAGGAGGAGGCGGGGGCGACCACUACACUAGCAACCUCGUCGGCGCAAGAGUAACAGUACACAUCGAAAAGCGCCUAGGUAGGACGGUAAUGUCGACGAUGCAAGGAGGAAGAGGAUAUUUGUGCCGCUCUUUCUUACCAUGACUGUAUUCUUGGUUCAUUUACAUAUAUGUAUGUGCUCGUAUUUCCCAAAUGAUGACUACAAUUCUUGCAUUUUUUUUUUGCCAUGAUGGUUUAUGUUUGGCUCUCGAGUCUCAUAUCUGUAGUUUCAGUGUAGCAGUUCAUAUUGGUAUCAGCUUUAGCCAUUACGACUGUAGUUUGCAUUAGUGCUUAGCAAUGCUUCAAAUAUCUGACGCCCUCCCCAUGCUGCCUCGCUUCAUUUGCUGCAACUGAGAGGUAUCCGUGGCGGUCGAGCUCCAUCCCAGCGUAGCGCUCUCACGCUUCCACUCCGCCCGACAGCAAUGUAGGAAUAAUUGGUGAGCAUGAAGAUCCUUCGUUGCUACAUCUAUUCCUACCCUAGCUGUCCAUUGAUUUGGAAGCUACGUGAUGGCUGUUCAACAACCUGGCAAUCAGGCAGUAUCGCCACCGCCCGGCGCCAAUGCGCCACGCAAAUUCUCCCUCCCACCUCCUCCUGGCCCAACCUGUUGUCUCACUCGUGCGCCGGCUCCUGAUCCCUUCAUUGCCCAGGGCUACGGCUCCCGCUAGGGAACGCUGUUUUACUGGCAAAGUGCAUGAAGGAAAUUGUCUGCGGAUGUGCUGUCAGUACUUGUUGUCAUUUGAAUUCUGUAUGGUGUGCUGCUGUUUUGUAAUUUUGGUAGUGGCUAAAAGUUCCAAUUCUGCAUUAAGUGUGUUAUGCAGGGGAAGGCCAAGGUUGACAAUACUCGGGCAUGCUGGUGUGAAUGUCAUGCUCUUAUUCAUUUGUUGAGGUCAAAAGACAAUGGUUGGAGGAAAUAAAUAACAUACAGUCGCCUUAGGUGGAGGUUUCUGUAGUGGUUAUGAUAUGAUGUCCGAAAAGAAUGAAAUUUCUCUUCUCCCCUUUUAUAUCAGGCAGUUAUAUAUCUGUAGUGAAUUGUAUUUUCAUGCAAUUUCUCGAUUACUAGAUAUUGCACUCUUGAAGUUUAACCUGGCACACUUUGCUCUUGACCUUGGAAUAUAUGUCUUCCUGCUUAAUUCCUUAUUUUGACCUACCUACAUAUACUUUAUGCCUUGCUUUGGAAACUAGCCAUGGCGCGAAAGAAUAAAAACUGUCACCCAAGUGGUGGUCAUGAAGGCGGGAUAGGUUCUGGUGCAUCAAGUACAGUCUCACACUGGAUUCCUGAAGUCCAAAAAAUUGUUCCCGGCGAAAGCUUUAAGCGCCCGAGAUUUGUUUCCGCUGGUGAAAGCAAUAGUGUGAAGGCAAACUAUUUUACACUAUUCACUUAUAAUGAAACUCUUUGCCGAUAUCAUGUAUUUAUACAUCCUAAGCCUACUUCAUCUGGCAUCAAUUGUCAUGAUACAAUUUGCAAGGCUGUAUGGGCAAUCAUGUUUGGGUGGGCGACUUCCUGCAUGCAUAUGAUGGAAAUAAAAGCUUAUAUACAUCUUGUCCAUUUCCAUUUACUUAUGAGGCUUUUGAAUUAGCACUACUUGAUCAGGAAGACAGUCUUCAUGUUGGGCAAGUCAGAGAUGUAUGAUAUUCUGGACAUAUCAAUAACCCUGUUCUAAUUAAUUGCUUACUGAUGUUGCUGCUCUCUGAAGGCGUGAGAUAAAAUUUUGGAUCAUGAUAACAUUAGAUAAAGUUUUGUCCGGACGAAUUGAUAGUGAAGAAAUCUCUCAAGCAGUUAACACUGAACAUUCUUUCCAAGAACCAAAUUAGUCUCCUCUACACCAUAGCACCAUGUCAUUGCCUUCUACUCCUGGGAACAGCUCUGGUUAUUUUUGCAAGGCAUGGUGAAGCAAUGAGGAAAUAUAACAAUGUGUGAGUUGAUAAUGUCUAUGAAAAUAGAAUUACUUGAUACUUACUUUGCUAAGAGGUAUGUUUCGUUGGCUGCAUCAAUUGUAAAUUCAGUAGAAAACUGAAUAUCUGCUUUUGCAUGUCUGCUAGAAUUGUGCACAACUUGCUGGUCUUACGUGAUGUUAAAUGUUAAAGGUGGUGAAACUAUAAUAAUUUUCUGUAACCAAUACCCAAUUUCUUAUCAUUUAAUCGACAAAAAGGACGGACGCUGCAACGCGCGCCAUCCAUGAUCUAGUAUAUUCUAAA